RNAcentral lists this ribosomal RNA (497 nucleotides) under uncultured bacterium. RNAcentral's name for it is "partial 16S ribosomal RNA". It matches the Rfam family "Bacterial small subunit ribosomal RNA", at positions 28 to 507 of the family's 1533-position model. The record is from RNAcentral.
GAUGAACGCUGGCGGCGUGCCUAAUACAUGCAAGUCGAGCGAACAGAUGAGGAGCUUGCUCCUCUGACGUUAGCGGCGGACGGGUGAGUAACACGUGGAUAACCUACCUAUAAGACUGGGAUAACUUCGGGAAACCGGAGCUAAUACCGGAUAAUAUAUUGAACCGCAUGGUUCAAUAGUGAAAGACGGUUUUGCUGUCACUUAUAGAUGGAUCCGCGCCGCAUUAGCUAGUUGGUAAGGUAACGGCUUACCAAGGCAACGAUGCGUAGCCGACCUGAGAGGGUGAUCGGCCACACUGGAACUGAGACACGGUCCAGACUCCUACGGGAGGUAGCAGUAGGGAAUCUGCCGCUACGGGCUAGAGCUUGACGGAGCAACGCCGCGUGAGUGAUGAAGGUCUUCGGAUCGUAAAACGCUGUUAUUAGGGAAGAACAAAUGUGUAAGUAACUAUUGACGGCUUGACGGUACCUAAUCAGAAAGCCACGCCUAACUAUGUG